RNAcentral lists this ribosomal RNA (743 nucleotides) under Heppia despreauxii. RNAcentral describes it as "eukaryotic LSU rRNA". It matches the Rfam family "Eukaryotic large subunit ribosomal RNA", at positions 190 to 978 of the family's 3401-position model. Lineage: Eukaryota; Fungi; Ascomycota; Lichinomycetes; Lichinales; Porocyphaceae. The record is from RNAcentral.
GUGGAACAGGGCGCCAGAGAGGGUGAGAGCCCCGUCUAGGGCCCCGGGUCUCAGUGUAGCUCCUUCGACGAGUCGAGUUGUUUGGGAAUGCAGCUCUAAAUGGGUGGUAAAUCUCAUCUAAAGCUAAAUACCAGCCAGAGACCGAUAGCGCACAAGUAGAGUGAUCGAAAGAUGAAAAGCACUUUGAAAAGAGAGUCAAACAGCACGUGAAAUUGUUGAAAGGGAAGCGCUUGCAACCAGACUCGCCCGCAGCUGAUGGGCAGUGCUCUCUCGUCUGCGGCCAGGCCAGCAUCAGCACUGGGGGCAGCAGAGGGGCCUUGGGAAUGUGGCUCUCUCCGGGGAGCGUUAUAGCCCGCUGUGCACUGCUGCCACCCAGCGCUGAGGAACAUGCUUCUGUAUGGAUGCUGGCAUAAUGGUUGCCAGCGACCCGUCUUGAAACACGGACCAAGGAGUCUAACAUCUACGCGAGUGUUUGGGUGUCAAGCCCGGACGCGCAAUGAAGGUAACUGGGGGAGCCCUUCCAUCUCAGCCGAUCCUGACGUUUUCUGACGGAUUUGAGCGCGAGCGUAGCUGUUGGGACCCGAAAGAUGGUGAACUAUGCCUGAAUAGGGUGAAGCCAGAGGAAACUCUGGUGGAGGCUCGCAGCGGUUCUGACGUGCAAAUCGAUCGUCAAAUUUGGGUAUAGGGGCGAAAGACUAAUCGAACCUUCUAGUAGCCGGUUCCUGCCGAAGUUUCCCUCAGGA